RNAcentral lists this ribosomal RNA (253 nucleotides) under uncultured bacterium. RNAcentral's name for it is "partial 16S ribosomal RNA". It matches the Rfam family "Bacterial small subunit ribosomal RNA", at positions 524 to 776 of the family's 1533-position model. The record is from RNAcentral.
UACGAAGGGUGCAAACGUUGCUCGGAAUUAUUGGGCGUAAAGCGCACGUAGGCGGCUUGGCAAGUCGGAUGUGAAAUCCCUCGGCUCAACCAAGGAAGUGCAUCCGAAACUGCUAAGCUUGAGUACUUAAGAGGAUCGCGGAAUUCCCGGUGUAGAGGUGAAAUUCGUAGAUAUCGGGAGGAACACCAGUGGCGAAGGCGACUUCCUGGCCUGUUCUUGACGCUGAGGCGCGAAAGCUAGGGGAGCAAACGGG